GAAACGCUGGCGGCGCACAUAAGACAUGCAAGUCGAACGGAACUUAGUCGAAUGUUACAUGAGGCAAAAGUUUAGUGGCGGACGGGUGAGUAACACGUGAGCAACCUGCCUUUAGGAAGGGGGGAUAACAUUGAGAAAUCAGUGCUAAUACCGCAUAAAGCAUGAGCAUCGCAUGAAGCACAUGCCAAAGGAGAAAUCCACCUAAAGAUGGGCUCGCGGCUGAUUAGCUAGUUGGUGUGGUAACGGCAUACCAAGGCGAUGAUCAGUAGCCGAGCUGAGAGGCACAACGGCCACAUUGGGACUGAGACACGGCCCAGACUCCUACGGGAGGCAGCAGUCGGGAAUAUUGCACAAUGGAGGAAACUCUGAUGCAGUGACGCCGCGUACAGGAAGAAGGUUCUUUGGAUUGUAAACUGUUGUCGACAGGGAAGAAAAAUGACAGUACCUGUGGAGGAAGCUCCGGCAAACUACGUGCCAGCAGCCGC
RNAcentral lists this ribosomal RNA (485 nucleotides) under uncultured bacterium. RNAcentral's name for it is "bacterial SSU rRNA". It matches the Rfam family "Bacterial small subunit ribosomal RNA", at positions 32 to 518 of the family's 1533-position model. The record is from RNAcentral.